UAAGCAAAUAGUGAAAGCGUGCGGCUCAACCGCAUAUCCAUUAUUUGAACUGUAUAGCUAGAGGAUGAGAGAGGUUAUUGGAAUUUCUAGUGUAGGAGUGAAAUCCGUAGAUAUUAGAAGGAACACCGAUGGCGUAGGCAGAUAACUGGCUCAUUCCUGACACUAAGGCACGAAAGCGUGGGGAGCGAACGGGAUUAGAUACCCCGGUAGUCCACGCCGUAAACUAUGGAUGCUA
This 235-nucleotide ribosomal RNA is filed under the name uncultured Candidatus Saccharibacteria bacterium. RNAcentral's name for it is "partial 16S ribosomal RNA". It matches the Rfam family "Bacterial small subunit ribosomal RNA", at positions 584 to 818 of the family's 1533-position model. Lineage: Bacteria; Candidatus Saccharimonadota. The record is from RNAcentral.